This 61-nucleotide transfer RNA is filed under the name Chydorus sphaericus. RNAcentral describes it as "tRNA-Cys". The record is from RNAcentral. Lineage: Eukaryota; Metazoa; Arthropoda; Branchiopoda; Diplostraca; Chydoridae.
GGUAAUAUAGUGUAGAGCAUAAAAAGUUGCAAACUUUUAGGAGUUUAUAAAACUAUUACUU